GCAGCAGCCGCGGGAAUACGUAGGGUGCAAGCGUUAAUCGGAAUUACUGGGCGUAAAGCGUGCGCAGGCGGUUAUAUAAGUCAGAUGUGAAAUCCCCGGGCUCAACCUGGGAACUGCAUUUGAGACUGUAUGGCUAGAGUGUGUCAGAGGGGGGUAGAAUUCCACGUGUAGCAGUGAAAUGCGUAGAUAUGUGGAGGAAUACCGAUGGCGAAGGCAGCCCCCUGGGAUAACACUGACGCUCAUGCACGAAAGCGUGGGGAGCAAACAGGAUUAGAUACCCCUGUAGUCCCUGUCUCUUAUAC
RNAcentral lists this ribosomal RNA (302 nucleotides) under uncultured bacterium. RNAcentral describes it as "partial 16S ribosomal RNA". It matches the Rfam family "Bacterial small subunit ribosomal RNA", at positions 508 to 807 of the family's 1533-position model. The record is from RNAcentral.